Molecule: long non-coding RNA, 2257 nt
Organism: Microcebus murinus (gray mouse lemur)
Lineage: Eukaryota; Metazoa; Chordata; Mammalia; Primates; Cheirogaleidae
Source: RefSeq, a predicted model, not a curated record
GGGAGAGGGGAAAGGCCUAAAAGCCCCAGAAGCUCAGGACGCGGGGCCGAGGCUGCCCGGCACAGCCGCAGAAACAGGAGAGCGGAAGGCGCCAUCCCGCCAGCCGGGGAGGGGCCCUGGGCCCCGAGAGGACCACAGCCGACGGGGAUUUUUCAAAGCCCGAAGCAAACAGAGCCCUCAUGGAGAAGUGGAGGGUGUUCAGACACGGCUAUGAGGCCCUGAGAAGUGAAAUGAGCCCAAGCCCUUGCCCAGUACAUUGGGCACAUCCUUUGGGGCCCUUUAACAAGUGAAUUGUUCACUUCUCACCUCUUGGGGAUCUGUCCCACCUGGGCCAAGAAUUUUCUAGAGCCUCUUGCGAUGGUCAGCAAUGUCCCUGAUGUGACCAGGAGUUAGGGAUUUCUGCAAAGACAAAGCAGGAAGAGCCUGGCUGCCUUGUUAGGAGGAACAGUAGGAAAAGGAAGGACAAGAUGGUAGUCUGUCACACGCAUGUCCACGGCUGUGCUGUGCUUGGAGCACUAAGGUUCAUGGUAGUUACUAGGGCCACCUAGGACGGUACAGUCCACUUUCUCUUUGAGUCAUGAAAAAGUGCCCAGGUGACAAGUUCAGCCUGAGGAGAGCAUGUCUAAGAAGAGACCAAGUGGCACUUCCUGUGGCCUCACAAAUGGCCAUACCCUGUGACAGCAAGCCAGGGCCGCAGACUGGAACCAAGGCACGGUCAGUCACUCAGGGGGAGGGGGAGGCGCAAAUCAACCAAGUGAGGAAGGAAAGGGGGAAAAAAGAGGCUGGAUGGACAUUCCUGGCCCACAGAAACAGAGCAGCUUUCCUUAGUGUGUUAACAGUAGCUGCGAGUCUAGCUUACAGAGGGUGAUUUCUCCAACUGCCUGUGAAUAAGGGUCAUUUUUCCUGAAAAAUGCACAAGGGUUCAUUUUCAGCUGUUAAAGAUGAGCCAGUUUUCUCGCUAAAGCAGGGAUCUGGUCAGCCAUUAACUCAGUUACCCCGGGGUGAGGGGGAAAUAACUGGCCCCAAUUCUUUCCUUUUCUAGCAUUUGGGAGAAUGAAGGAUUAGGUAAAAUGCGUUAUUUCCUCCCAUUCUCCACUGUGGGCAGGAGUUCACAUAUCAGUUAGAAACCAUUUUUGAACAGGAAGACCAAGUAAAUCCAGAAGGGAUUUACUCAUGGGGCUCCCUUUUUACUAGAAAAUGAGUGUUAUUAACUAAAAAUCGAUGCUUUCCUCUUUCUCCAUUCUCCUCCCUUCCUUCCCUCCCCUCAUCUCCCGCCCACUGCUGUGGUGGGAAAUGACUGUGGUGAGUGACAUUUAAAUCGUGAGCAAGGUUGGACGCCUCCAUGUCCCUUAGAUGCCCCCGAGGGUAGAUCACAGCACUUCUAAAGGCCGUAUCCCCACAUGAAAUAAUUUGAAUUUUCUUAGACUGCAGAAUGUCUCGCAUUCCUGAUGACGGAUUGGGGAGCAUGGUGGGUCUGAGAGUUGCAAAGGCUCCAUUAGUUCAGUUGAUCGUUCCCGUUUGCAACGUGGUCUUCCACUAAGUAUUUGUUUUCUAAAAAUCUAUUCCCUUCUGGGGAUGUUUUUUUUUUCUCUCCCAGCCCUUUUAGAAAACUGAUGCGAACAGAUUUCCCGUCCAUUUUCAUAGGAAGUCUUUGUUCCUGUUGGCAGGAGGCCUUUGUCGGGAGGUAGUGGGACACAGGCAGUGGGCCCCUGCAUGACUCUGCCCUUCCAGAAUGCAGAAGCCUUCCACCUGCGAGUCUGGAUCUCUCCCCACCGCUCUGAGAUGCUCGCCACUGCCACUGCGAUGCCUCUUGCCGCUGCUCAGGUCACAGAGAUGGAGCUGGCCAGGUUCCCCGCUGGUGGUCAGUGACAAUGGUGCGACCUGGAGGUGACAUUAACACCUUCACGGCUACAGAGUUUCCUUAGCAGAGCUGUGGAGUGUGACAAUGGUGUUUGUGUCCAAACUAUCAAACGCCAUUAUCACACUAAAUAGCUACUGCUAGGCAAUCCUUCCGCUCCCUAAAUGUCUUGGCAUCUGCUUGGUGUGGACAAGAAAGUUCGACUGGUAACAGUGGCCCCAAUCAAGUGUGUCCUCACUGAAUAAGGUCUGGUCGUCUUGUGCUCGUGACCAACAUGUCUAUGUGAACCCUGACUCACACGUGCUGUUGUUAACCACUUUGGCUGGCGAUGAAUUUUCUUGUUUUCUCAAGUCAAUAAAAAGUUUGCCAAGGGCCCCAGAGGACCCAGCAUAAAGCUAG